GCCUGGGUGGCUCAGUGGGUUAAGUGUCUGACUUCAGCUCAGGCCAUGAUCUCAUGGUCUGUGGGUUCGAGCCCCACAUCAGGCU
RNAcentral lists this transfer RNA (85 nucleotides) under Felis catus (domestic cat). It matches the Rfam family "tRNA". Rfam says of the family: Transfer RNA (tRNA) molecules are approximately 80 nucleotides in length. Lineage: Eukaryota; Metazoa; Chordata; Mammalia; Carnivora; Felidae. RNAcentral also lists the same sequence under 4 other names. The record is from Rfam by way of RNAcentral.